GGGGGCGAACUGGAUUCGACCGGACAGAUUGAGGCAGAAAGCGGCGCUUCGGGGUUGUCAGGAGGCCCCGUAAAACACCUGGCAAAAAUAUAAACGCAGACAAUGCGUAUGCAUUUGCAGCGUAAUUAAGCUGUAACGUUGUCGUGUUCCCCUCCCGCGGGAGCAUGGCGACGUAUCACUGCGGGAUAGCCCUGAGGGUUUGCUAAACGCCUGAGGGGCGAAACUCAAAGUUAAGCUGGCGGACUGGCACCUUGCCGGAAGGGGGCCCGGGCGCGAGAGCAAAUUACCGGCUACAAGCGUAGAAGCUCCUGCUGAAGUGUCUCGGGACGGGGGUUCAAUUCCCCCCGCCUCCACCA
This 356-nucleotide transfer-messenger RNA is filed under the name Planctomycetota. RNAcentral's name for it is "JACRIJ01 sp016220095 Standard tmRNA". It matches the Rfam family "transfer-messenger RNA". Rfam says of the family: Bacterial tmRNA, also known as 10Sa RNA or SsrA, is named for its dual tRNA and mRNA-like properties. Its role is to liberate the mRNA from a stalled ribosome. To accomplish this part of the tmRNA is used as a reading frame that ends in a translation stop signal. Lineage: Bacteria; Pseudomonadati. The record is from RNAcentral. RNAcentral also lists the same sequence under 1 other name.